This 465-nucleotide ribosomal RNA is filed under the name Vreelandella stevensii. Its description in RNAcentral is "partial 16S ribosomal RNA". It matches the Rfam family "Bacterial small subunit ribosomal RNA", at positions 338 to 795 of the family's 1533-position model. The record is from RNAcentral. Lineage: Bacteria; Pseudomonadati; Pseudomonadota; Gammaproteobacteria; Oceanospirillales; Halomonadaceae.
CCUACGGGGGGCAGCAGUGGGGAAUAUUGGACAAUGGGGGGAACCCUGAUCCAGCCAUGCCGCGUGUGUGAAGAAGGCCCUCGGGUUGUAAAGCACUUUCAGUGAGGAAGAACGCCUGGUGGUUAAUACCCAUCAGGAAAGACAUCACUCACAGAAGAAGCACCGGCUAACUCCGUGCCAGCAGCCGCGGUAAUACGGAGGGUGCGAGCGUUAAUCGGAAUUACUGGGCGUAAAGCGCGCGUAGGUGGCUUGAUAAGCCGGUUGUGAAAGCCCCGGGCUCAACCUGGGAACGGCAUCCGGAACUGUCAAGCUAGAGUGCAGGAGAGGAAGGUAGAAUUCCCGGUGUAGCGGUGAAAUGCGUUGAGAUCGGGAGGAAUACCAGUGGCGAAGGCGGCCUUCUGGACUGACACUGACACUGAGGUGCGAAAGCGUGGGUAGCAAACAGGAUUAGAUACCCUGGUAGUC